GGAGAGAUGGCAGAGUGGUCGAUUGCGACGGUCUUGAAAACCGUUGGGCGGCAACGUCCCGUGGGUUCGAAUCCCACUCUCUCCUCCA
RNAcentral lists this transfer RNA (88 nucleotides) under Armatimonadota bacterium. RNAcentral describes it as "Armatimonadetes bacterium (activated sludge metagenome) tRNA-Ser". It matches the Rfam family "tRNA". From Rfam's summary of the family: Transfer RNA (tRNA) molecules are approximately 80 nucleotides in length. Their secondary structure includes four short double-helical elements and three loops (D, anti-codon, and T loops). RNAcentral also lists the same sequence under 1 other name. The record is from RNAcentral. Lineage: Bacteria; Bacillati; Armatimonadota.